This 327-nucleotide ribosomal RNA is filed under the name Triticum aestivum (bread wheat). RNAcentral describes it as "partial small subunit ribosomal RNA". Lineage: Eukaryota; Viridiplantae; Streptophyta; Magnoliopsida; Poales; Poaceae. The record is from RNAcentral.
AUGCUGAGAGCGCGCGAGGAGAUAGAUGCGUGCAUAGGAGAACCAUCACGGCUGCUCGAGGCGACCGAUCUCCCAAACCUGGCUUACCUCCGAUGCAUCAUCAUGGAGACCCUCCGGCUGUACCCGCCGGCGCCGCUACUCGUCCCCUACGAGUCACGUCGGCGGGUUCUACAUUCCCCAGGGGACGAUGCUCCUCGUUACAUGUUUGAUAUCCACAUGGAUCCUCAACAAUGGCAUGAACCAGCAAGCUUCGUUCCUGAGAGGUUUGAGGAUGGGAGAAAUGGAGAUAAGAUGGUGAUCCUGUUUGGCAUGGGUAGACGACGAUGA